UGUGAUUCUAUUAAAGCCUUUCCUAAAUGAGAGUUCCUUGGAUGUAUGUGUAUGUACAGUAGUAAAAAGAUGAAUUUAGGCAAUUGCUGCGAACGUUUCCUUUGGUUCUCUUGUGCUAGUGAUGAUGUUUGUUUACACCUGGAUCCCAGAGGGAAUGUCUCCUUUGACCAGGUCUGCAACAGCAUGAAGGUGUUGAUGAAAACAAAUGCAAUGGGCAAAUGAGAAUGUAUUCCUGGAGCCAAGGAGCAGAGAGCAAGCUUUGUGGCUCUCUUGUUAGGUUUAAAAGUACUGCCAAGGAGAAGGGAGACUGCUGCUGAGAUUACGGAGACUCAGGUAAACUGGGGGCAAUCUGUCUUGUUUGGGAAUAGAUUUUAAUGCAGCAGGUGGCAGUUGGUGGACCUCUAGGUGAGUUGAUGAAGUCUGUGUCCAUUGGUGUCCUUGCUCAGCUGUGAAGGAUAGCAAACCCAUACACCUUGUCCUUGUAGGCCAUGUAAGUAGCAGUGGAAUCCACAGUUUACCAGUGGAAUGACAACAGCUAAGGAUGAAAUUACUUGCAUGUGCUAAUUAAAUCUUUCUUUAUAAUGCAGUAAGCAAAAUAUUGGGGAUUCGGGAUGGGUUGAUUUCUCUGGGCUUCUGGAUUCCAACACUACUCAGAGAACUCCUAUACUGGGACACCUAUAUCCUUACUCUUUUUCCCAUUUGUCAGGUGGGAAUAGUUUCUAGAAACUCACUCAUCCACCACAGGGUGUGUGGCAGAGAAAAGCAACGUUGGGCUGACAAAAGCUGGUGUUUGCCGGCAGUGAGUGCCAGAGAUGACAAAGCGAUUGGGCUACGGCCGACUGCGCUAUUCAGCCGGAAGGAUGGGAGUAUCUGAGAGGCAGUUUCAUCGGGACUGGCGCAACUAUCCAUUCACCUUCAGUCUCCUGGCCCUCUGCUGUAACUCCUGCACCCUUCUGGGAAUAUUAAUGUUUCAUUUCUUCCAGUCAGAAGCAGGUUCAUCCCAGGACUGUUUGUCAAGGCAUGGCAACAAGUAGGGCAGACGACAACAAGCAGCGGCGGUUCUUCCUGUUGAAUGCAAAGGAGCUGUUCCGUGAGGACAGAGCCAAAGGUGGGAGCCCUGCCUGUGAGAGCAGGAAUGCGUCAGCAGGAGUGAGCUGUGAAUCAGUGCACGCCUCCUAAACGUCAGCUGUCAAGGAAUAAAACUGAACUGAGGGGGAAAGGAGCAUUUAUUCCCAGCAGGAAAAGAGAGGAACGCUGAAAUGAAGGAUUUUCUCCAAUUAUAGCACUCCUCAGGCAGCAAACCCACCUCUGGGUUUCCAGCAAACCUACCAGGCCUACAAACCAAACCAAUCAAGUAAUGUCAAGGUGUAUUUACUCUCCUAGUAACCUGCUGACCCAUUCCCUGUCUGUACCAUGCUAGUGGCUCACAAGGAUGCACCCCGGUGCUGUGUGCUGGGAAGGGGCACAGCUGUGAGCCCAGGUGGGGCAAGGUGACUGAAUGGCUCCCAACUCCUGCUCUCCAUCCAUCAUAGCAUGGAAAGGGGGUGCUGAAGAGGAGCCUGUGUUGGAACAGUGGUGCUUGGGGACUGUGCCUGUCCUUUGUGCUGGCUGCUCUCAACGAGGCAGAAAAUUAAUUGUAAAGAGGAACUCUCACACACCUGCCUGCAGCUGAAGAGCAGCUUGUGUCAGAGAUCACCUAGACUUGACUGCUGUCAAAUAUUGGCUGCAAGUGAGAUGGAUUUCCUGAAUGCUGUGUUUUACUUGGUGACAUAUCCUAAACCUUUGGGAAGAGCUUUUUCAAAUAAGCUUUUCUCAAGUUUUUUGCAGAUGUCUUUUUUUUUCUUUCUUUCUUCUUAUAAAGAGUAUUAGGCUAUCGCAGCACUGGAAAUGCUGAUAAAUUGGUGUAAAAGUCUUGUCUGCUAUUCCUUUCCCUAUCUAAUGUUCAUCUCUGCACUGUCCUCAGAGCAUGUCCUGCCCACAGUUCCUCUGUUAACUUGUCCCUGCUCAUAACACCCUGCACAAAACCCACAACUGGGCUCUUUUUGGUCUGAUUAAAAUCAUGCUGUGCAAUAGGAAAUACAAAUUAGCUCUGGCCUUUGGGCUCCUGACAAGUUUCCAGUGCUGCUUUCAGCACCACGCAGAUUGUGUAACUCCAUCCGUGUGUCCUCCGUGUGGUGACGUCUCCCCCUCCGUCAUGAGCUGGGCUGGCUGCCACACAUCCAGGUUCAGCUGUUAAUACUUCAAGCAGCUUUUAGAACUGAAGGAGGAAGAGAGAUUGCCAGCAGCCUUGUGAAAUGCGGAAACCAGCUUUUUCUUGCUAGGAGACAGUGUGGGAAGGGGCAAAAAGAGGGUUUUUUCUAGGUAAUUCCCCAGAUCUUGAUGUUUGUGCAAAUAUCUCCCUGUCUAAUGAGCAAUUGGGGAGCUCAGCACCAGGACAGCCAAUGCUUCAGUACAGGAUUAACCUCUGAAGGAAGAGCACAGUAGCAUCUUAUACAAACUGUGGCUUAAGUUUGCCUGGCCAUGAAGCACACAGCACUUUCCUGCCUCCUCCAAGGAUUCAAGCCGGGCAACUAUGUUGCAUCAUUUCGGCAUUGCUAACAGAAGGGCUCAGGCAGCAGCUACCGUGUCAUGUCUUCAACAGAAACCUUUAAGUCUCGGCAACUUCCUCUGAGGAUGCUGAAGCAAACACUGUCCAGACCUGCAAGUGAACAAGUUACAAAUGACAUCUCUGGUUCGAAAUGGUGCGUGGGCGCGACGUGGGUGAAUGUUCCCUGCCCUGGGUGUUUUCUAAAGGUCUCUGAAGCAUGAGGCAUGACUGAAUGACUUGUGUUUUCUUUAAAUGACGAGUGGGUGAAUCUUGAAUCAUUGGUCUGCUUUUAUUUUUGUUAGAUGUGUGUGGGCUGACAACAUGACUCAGUAUUUUCUCUGCAGAUGCAAAGAUUGUACUGCCAAUUCUCGGUAUGCUUCAGACAGUUUCACACAGAGAACUGGAACGCUUUUUCAGUCCAGAGCUUUGCUUUUCGGCAGUCUUAAGCCUCUUGAUGUGAAAAUAAAUAAGUAAUUUUAAAAAUGAGUGCUUUGCCAGAAUCUGCAAAAAUACACCGAAGAAAUGGCCAAACAUGGGGAAAGUACCUAUACCUCAGUGUUUCCCCAAUAAUUUGUCUGAUUUUUUUCAUGUUAUUCUGGAAAUGGCCAUUAACAUCUGAUUUCUCUUUGUGAUUCUCCCUAGCCUCAGUUGCUGCUGGGCCAUCUCUCUGUCUGCUGAGUAUCAUCUCUGGUGUUUAUUUAACCACCCUUGCCCUGCUGGGUGAGAGCCACCAUCCUCGGACUGAUGGCUACACCUCCUGAAACACAACACAUGUGCAUUUUUAUGGCCAAUUUGGACAAAGUCAUCCCUCCAGAUGGUAACUGCAACUUCUAGAUAAGACCUGACAUGUGACAACCCAAGAAACACCAAAUUGAGGAGGGAAGGAAGGAAUUGUCCAUUUUCAGACGCCAGCGUGGCUACAUAUACUGACACUGUUGCACAAACACAAACAAUUUUAUCUGGAACAGUUGCCUCUUGGUAGUUGUUCCAUUACCUGUAAUUGAUUAUGCCAGAGCUUGCAGCCUCUAUGAUCAGAAAGCAACUUCCUCUGUGUGCUUUUGAAUCAGAUUAAUAAAGGGAAACAAUAUUUCUACUGAGAAA
This is a long non-coding RNA of Pseudopipra pipra, 3688 nucleotides long. RefSeq lists it as uncharacterized. The transcript has 3 exons. Lineage: Eukaryota; Metazoa; Chordata; Aves; Passeriformes; Pipridae. The record is from RefSeq and is a predicted model, not a curated record.